Molecule: ribosomal RNA, 497 nt
Filed under: uncultured bacterium
Lineage: Bacteria
Description: partial 16S ribosomal RNA
Rfam family: Bacterial small subunit ribosomal RNA
Source: RNAcentral
GAUGAACGCUGGCGGCGUGCCUAAUACAUGCAAGUCGAGCGAACGGACGAGAAGCUUGCUUCUCUGAUGUUAGCGGCGGACGGGUGAGUAACACGUGGAUAACCUACCUAUAAGACUGGGAUAACUUCGGGAAACCGGAGCUAAUACCGGAUAAUAUUUUGAACCGCAUGGUUCAAAAGUGAAAGACGGUCUUGCUGUCACUUAUAGAUGGAUCCGCGCUGCAUUAGCUAGUUGGUAAGGUAACGGCUUACCAAGGCAACGAUGCAUAGCCGACCUGGGAGGGUGUCGGGCCACACUGGAACGAGGACACGGUCCAGACUCCUACGGGAGGCGGCAGUAGGGAAUCUUCCGCAAUGGGCGAAAGCCUGACGGAGCAACGCCGCGUGAGGGAUGAAGGUCUUCGGAUCGUAAAACUCUGUUAUUAGGGAAGAACAGAUGUGUAAGUAACUGUGCACAUCUUGACGGUACCUAAUCAGAAAGCCACGGCUAACUACGUG